This 345-nucleotide ribosomal RNA is filed under the name Stagmatoptera sp. MN029. RNAcentral describes it as "partial 16S ribosomal RNA". Lineage: Eukaryota; Metazoa; Arthropoda; Insecta; Mantodea; Mantidae. The record is from RNAcentral.
GGCCGCAGUAUUUUGACUGUGCAAAGGUAGCAUAAUCAUUAGUCUUUUAAUUAAGGGCUUGUAUGAAUGGUUGGACGAGGUGAAUUCUGUUUUAUGUUAAUUUAAUUGAAAUUAGUUUUUAAGUAAAAAAACUUAAAUAUUAUUAAGGGACGAGAAGACCCUAUAGAGUUUAAUAUAUGUAAUAAAUAAUUAAGUUAGAAUAUAAUUUUUAAUUAUUAUGGAAUUUAUUUAAUUGGGGUGAUUUAAAAAUAAGAAUAACUUUUUUUUAUAAUUAAUAAUAUAAUUAGCUACAUGAUCCAAAUAUAAUGAUUAAAAGAUUAAAUUACCUUAGGGAUAACAGCAUAA